RNAcentral lists this ribosomal RNA (396 nucleotides) under uncultured bacterium. RNAcentral's name for it is "partial 16S ribosomal RNA". It matches the Rfam family "Bacterial small subunit ribosomal RNA", at positions 338 to 731 of the family's 1533-position model. The record is from RNAcentral.
CCUACGGGAGGCAGCAGUGAGGAAUAUUGGUCAAUGGGCGCGAGCCUGAACCAGCCAAGUAGCGUGAAGGAUGACUGUCCUACGGGUUGUAAACCUCUUUUAUCAAGGAAUAAAGUGAGGCACGUGUGCCUUUUUGUGUGUACUUUAUGAAUAAGCAUCGGCUAACUCCGUGCCAGCAGCCGCGGUAAUACGGAGGAUCCGAGCGUUAUCCGGAUUUAUUGGGUUUAACGGGAGCGUAGAUGGGUUGUUAAGUCAGUUGUGAAAGUUUGCGGCUCAAACGUAAAAUAGCAAUUGAUACUGUCAGCCUUGAGUGCGCUAGAGGUAGGCGGAAUGCGUGGUGUAGCGGUGAAAUGCUUAGAUAUCACGCAGAACUCCGAUUGCGAAGGCAGCAUACUA